CGAUGUGGUUUGAAGUCACCUACCCCCGUUCAAAUCAGAAACGGCUGGUUUUUCCCAUUACCAUUCUUGUGGCCAAGAACAGCUGAAUGCAGCACCCCUGUUCUCCAAACCCAAAACCUCAUCUUCUCUCUCUCUCUCUCUCUUUCUCUCUCUCUCUCUCUCUCUCUCUCUCUCUUUAUUCCCACCCAAAAUCCACCUCAACUCCAUUUUACUCUCUUUGUCACCAAUCCCAUUAAGCUUGAAGAACCUUCCAAACAAAGCACCCAGAAAUCAAAUGCAAAAAACCCAAAAGGCACAAUCCCCAGGAAGCAUCAAAUUUGCCAUCUUUGCUUCUUGCAUGUAACUGCUCUGCUGUUGAUCAAGCAUAAUGGCGCCACGUGGUACCCUUUAUACUGGCUCUGUUCACAAUGCAGGGAUUGUGUUCCAGAAAUUGCCCCAAAGAAAUUGUGAUCAGUGGAGCUUCCAUACCUAGAGAGGCAACCUUCUGCCCAGCCACACAGGCUAAGACUCCAACAUGCUAACGUGCAUGUCCCCAUUCUUUCCAUUGGACAACCACGCAUUCAUGAGCGUGGACCCGUGGUCAGGAGGCCCGUGCACUGUGGUUGUUGUGGCCAAACGGGACAUAACAUUCGGACCUACAAUGCGAACUGCUCUCAUGAUCGUUGGCUCAUGGCCAGUACACUGCAGACGAUGUACCCAAACAGGACACAACCGUUGCACCUGCAGUCAGAAAAGAUGAAGCUGGAAUCAUCAAAGAAUGCAAAUAAGCCAAUUUGGAAACCCAUAAUUGCAUAAUGGCUACUUGGGUCUGAAACAAUACAUCAUGGUUUUGGUAAGAGGAAGAAAUGGAAGAGUAUGUUGUAUCAAUCUCAGUUAGUUUGAACUUGCGCACUGUUGUUAAGCCCCACGCCUGGUUCCAUUUAUUAGAAAUAAAUACGCAACGGGAAGACAUAAAACCUGAACCCUGUGCCAUACAAAGAAAACAAGGUAGGGAAAUCAGCCAAGACUGCUCCCAAACAACAAAAUACAGAAAUCAAGAACCAGUGCUACCGAAACCCAAGAAUGGGAACAACUGUAUAUGCCAUUGAAGAUAUGUUCCUCUAUCUCAAUGGCGAAACAGAAAGCGACUACUCUCGGGAGGAACCCUGCAGAAUACAUUAUAGGGACAUUCAUUCUACUUUAGCCCAUCAUCCUGGGGUCUUCCAGAGGAUGUGCUUAACAAACGCUGCAGUUGUGGUAGAAUUGGCAUGUUAGCAUGUUUUUCGGGUCAAUUUCACAAAUGAGUAUGUGCUGUUCAUACCUGCAGUCAGAACAACACUCAUGAGUGUCAGCUCAUGGCCAGAAGGAGGCCAAUACACUGCAGAUGAUGUGGCCAAAUAGGACACAACCGUUGCACCUGCAGUUAGAACAGGUUGUGAAAUUUUUUUUUUUGGGCAAUUAGAACGGGUCUUGAUGGAAUGAACUUGUCUUGGAGCUUGUUGUAGUGUUGUACCAUGUUUAUGUCCCAGCUUCUGUUUUCCAAACCUUAAACUUCUAGUCUUAU
Rosa rugosa (rugosa rose) is the source of this 1543-nucleotide long non-coding RNA. RefSeq lists it as uncharacterized. The record is from RefSeq and is a predicted model, not a curated record. NCBI's taxonomy places the organism in Eukaryota, Viridiplantae, Streptophyta, Magnoliopsida, Rosales, Rosaceae. The transcript is spliced from 6 exons.